RNAcentral lists this ribosomal RNA (253 nucleotides) under uncultured bacterium. RNAcentral's name for it is "partial 16S ribosomal RNA". It matches the Rfam family "Bacterial small subunit ribosomal RNA", at positions 524 to 776 of the family's 1533-position model. RNAcentral also lists the same sequence under 1 other name. The record is from RNAcentral.
UACAGAGGGUGCAAGCGUUGUUCGGAAUUAUUGGGCGUAAAGCGCGUGUAGGCGGCAGUGCAAGUCGGGUGUGAAAGCCCUCAGCUCAACUGAGGAAGUGCGCCCGAAACUGCAUUGCUUGAGUACCGGAGAGGAUGGCGGAAUUCCCGAAGUAGAGGUGAAAUUCGUAGAUAUCGGGAGGAACACCGGUGGCGAAGGCGGCCAUCUGGACGGAUACUGACGCUGAGACGCGAAAGCGUGGGUAGCAAACAGG